AUACUUACCUGGCAGGGGAGACACCAUGAUCAUGAAGGUGGUUCACCCAGGGCGAGGCUCAGCCAUUGCACUUCGACUGUGCUGACCCGUGCGAAUUCCUCAAAUGUGGGAAUCUCGACUGCAUAAUUUGUGGUAGUGGGGGACUGCGUUCGCGCUCUCCCCUG
Molecule: small nuclear RNA, 164 nt
Gene: U1
Rfam family: U1 spliceosomal RNA
About the family: U1 is a small nuclear RNA (snRNA) component of the spliceosome (involved in pre-mRNA splicing). Its 5' end forms complementary base pairs with the 5' splice junction, thus defining the 5' donor site of an intron. There are significant differences in sequence and secondary structure between metazoan and yeast U1 snRNAs, the latter being much longer (568 nucleotides as compared to 164 nucleotides in human).
Source: Ensembl